This 200-nucleotide ribosomal RNA is filed under the name uncultured bacterium. RNAcentral describes it as "partial 16S ribosomal RNA". It matches the Rfam family "Bacterial small subunit ribosomal RNA", at positions 309 to 526 of the family's 1533-position model. The record is from RNAcentral.
CACACUGGGAUUGAGAACGGCCCAGACUCCUACGGGAGGCAGCAGUGAGGAAUUUUCCGCAAUGGGCGCAAGCCUGACGGAGCAACGCCGCGUGCAGGAUGAAGGUCUACGGAUCGUAAACUGCUUUUGCCAGAGAAGAGUAAGGACGGUAUCUGGAGAAUAAGCCCCGGCUAACUACGUGCCAGCCGCCGCGGUAACAC